ACUCAGCUGACGAGUUUCAAAUAAGACGAAACUUGCGUCUAGCUGAAU
This 48-nucleotide non-coding RNA is filed under the name Schistosoma mansoni. Lineage: Eukaryota; Metazoa; Platyhelminthes; Trematoda; Strigeidida; Schistosomatidae. The record is from RNAcentral.